GUCAGCCCAGUUGGUUAAUGCGCAUGUUUGAGAAGCAGAGGUCGCAGGUUCGAAUCCGGUGUGAUG
Molecule: transfer RNA, 66 nt
Filed under: Helianthus annuus (common sunflower)
Lineage: Eukaryota; Viridiplantae; Streptophyta; Magnoliopsida; Asterales; Asteraceae
Description: tRNA-Leu
Source: RNAcentral